Molecule: small nuclear RNA, 104 nt
Organism: Choloepus hoffmanni (Hoffmann's two-fingered sloth)
Lineage: Eukaryota; Metazoa; Chordata; Mammalia; Pilosa; Megalonychidae
Source: Ensembl
GGGCUCGCUUCCACAGCACAUAUACUAAAAUUGGAAUGAUACAUAGAUUAGCAUGGCCCCUGUGCAAGGAUGACAUGCAGAUUCGUGAAGUGUUCCUUAUUUUU